This 1678-nucleotide unclassified non-coding RNA is filed under the name Pomacea canaliculata. Its description in RNAcentral is "alpha-crystallin B chain-like, transcript variant X4". Lineage: Eukaryota; Metazoa; Mollusca; Gastropoda; Architaenioglossa; Ampullariidae. The record is from RNAcentral.
CCGGAAGCUAUGUCGUCUAAUGCCUCGUUUUAACAGUAAACUGGAAAAAAAUCGUCUGCCAGCAAUCCAGGGAUAUGAGUUCGUGAUACAAUUGUUCUCAAAGUGUGGUCCGUGGACCACUUGUGGGCCGCACGCAUAAGUUAGGUGGUCAGUGGCUGACAGUCCUCAUAUGUCAGCAAAGUGAAUUAGUCCAGUAUUAAUUUCACACGAGUUUUAAUUUUAUUGAUGCUCGUUCGCAUAAACCCCUCGCUUACCAGCUAAGUCGAUCUUUAUAUCACAGCGCGAGCGUUGUCAUUUAACCGUGUCAUCCGUUACCCUUAGUAACGCAGUGCACUUCCUUAUUUUUAAUUUUGUGUGAACUUUGAGAAGCAUGUAAUUUUAUGAAAACUUACUACUGUCACAAAAGUGCAUUUAGUUUUGAAUUGUAAUGAAACAAAUGCGGCAAUUUAAAUUUGAAAUUCACAUUACAGUGAUGUUACGCCUUGGUGAUCCGCCAUAAUUUUUGCUUUAGUGAAGCGGUCCGCGGUCGGAAAUACUUUCAGAACCACUGAUCUAUGCGAUAACCCGGUCGCGAAACGUGUGGACUUUAAUGGACACGUGUCUUUGGUUGAUGUAUGUCGCGCGUGCAUAUUACACAGUUUUGGAAAAAUCACACAUUAUACAGCCGUGUUUAUUUUAAUAGGCUGUAUAAGAAGCUAGUUAAACAUACCCAAGGCAAAUCCUUCGCUCACUCAGUUCGCCGCCAUUUUUUCCCAGAAACCUUCAGACGUUACUUGGAGUAGCGCCCCUUGAAUAACUGCGCUUAUGCUGUUGGACAAGUUUGAAAGAAAAAAAAACCAACCAACCCGCGACAUAUCAUUAUUUUUAAGAAGUGAUUUAACGAAUGAGGUAAUGCAUGUCAUGGGUCAUUUAUUUUUGUAGUUCAAAAGCGCACGAAUGGAAGCCUAACGACCAAGAUAGUCGUACUUGAAAAAGUCCUGGACUGUGUUUGAUUUAGCACUCCAUUAGACUACAUGAAAUUAUGUCGUUUCAACCAGCUUCUCGAAUUUUCAUAAAUUCUUAUCGAAGGCCCCUUCUUUACGGAGACAGUUUAUUAGACGAGGAGUACUGGCCAUUGUCGUGGAGGCUGGGUUUGGUUAGCUCCCGACUGAAUGAUCCAUCAGAGAGCCAAGGGGAAGACAACAGUAACGACUUCAUCCUUACCGUGAAUACCCAGCAUUUCAGACCCGAUGAGGUCAACAUAAAGAUCAAAGACAAGUGGAUUGUAAUCCAUGCUAAGCAUGAAGAGCGCCAAGAUGAGCAUGGCUUUAUCGCGCGCGAGUUCACACGACGGAUUGCUUUGCCUGACGAUGUCGAUCAAUUCACCAUAACCUCAUCCAUGAGUCCCGAUGGCGUGCUUAUUAUGAAGGCACCCAGGAAACCACCACCCAGACCCACAGAGGUUGUGAUUCCCAUCAUCCACGAAUGAUCGCAAUAUCUUUGAUCCAUGCUGCCAGCGUUUCAACAACCAUACUGAGGAGACUGAAAGUGAAUGAGGUGUUUGAUGGUUUCGAUGACAUCAGCCGACAAUAAAAUUUGGAGACCCCCUCGCACCGCUCAAAAGCUGUGUUUUAGGUGCAAUUAUAAGAAAACAUUUGUUUUGAAGCCCGAAAUUUUUGAAUAAAAACUCUUACGCCUA